AAUUGUAAGAAUUCUUAGCUCAUUCAGAAGUAACUUUUAUUGGUCACUUGCUUGUUUAAUAAUCAAAAGCAUAACGUCAGCACAAAAGCACAGAAAGCUACUCUGGUAAGACACAGAGUCUCUGCCACUCGAGAUUACAUAGAAGGACAUCGCACUGGCCCGCUGUAUGGAGAAUACUGGCUGAGAGGAGCUGCAGAGCCAGAGGAUGCAUUGGUAAUUGUAAUAUUUCAACUUUGUCAACUUUGGUGACAGAGAAAGAAAAACCCAGGGAAACAUUCUACAAUCGUCUUUCUGAAACUGGAGAUGACACCGCAGUAGGAUGACUCUUUGUUACGGUAUUAAACAGAGACUGCCAAGCUUCACCCUCUUCUUCCUCGUUGCUGCUGGCAGCGUGGACGUGAGCCAGGGAGGUGCAGAAGGUCUCUUGUAAUCAUGAGGCGACAAGGACAAACACCUCUGUGCAGGAGGAUGCAAAGUGGAAAGACGGAGUGAGCCUGGAUCCCUGAGAGGUCACUGCGCCGCCGUGCCGGGCCUGGACCACCCGCCUGGACUCGCAGAGCCCUCGAUGUACACUUCUCUCUAGUGUGUGAGGCAGCCGUCAUGAGGGUGUAGGUUUCACUUUCUGAGGAAUGAGAAUUAUGUUUCCAAACAGAAAGAAAGCAAUGAUGUUUGUCCCUUUGACUCAAGUUAGAACACUUCCAAAACCAACACACUCAGGAGCAACACCGUCUACUCUAAACCUAAUCCACAUCAAGAGAGAGGAGAAAACCAAACUUUAUCUUUAUGCCAAAAGGUUCAAGAAUGUUUGAGAGAAUCAUACCUGUCUUAGAUUGAGUCUCAGCCCAUCGCCCUCCCCUCCUCCCAACACACACACACACACAUGAACAUACACGCUCACACACGUGUGCAUGCAGACACACAUAUGCACAGAUACACACGAGCACACACACGCACACGCACACGGACACGCACAAACACGCA
RNAcentral lists this long non-coding RNA (981 nucleotides) under Equus asinus (donkey). Its description in RNAcentral is "lncRNA (ENSEASG00005033658.1)". Lineage: Eukaryota; Metazoa; Chordata; Mammalia; Perissodactyla; Equidae. The record is from RNAcentral.